RNAcentral lists this ribosomal RNA (253 nucleotides) under uncultured bacterium. Its description in RNAcentral is "partial 16S ribosomal RNA". It matches the Rfam family "Bacterial small subunit ribosomal RNA", at positions 524 to 776 of the family's 1533-position model. The record is from RNAcentral.
GACAGAGGUGCCGAGCGUUAGGCGGAAUUACUGGGCGUAAAGCGUGCGCAGGCGGUUUUGUAAGCCAGAUGUGAAAUCCCCGGGCUUAACCUGGGAAUGGCAUUUGGGACUGCAAGGCUAGAGUGCGGCAGAGGAGACUGGAAUUCCUGGUGUAGCAGUGAAAUGCGUAGAUAUCAGGAGGAACACCGAUGGCGAAGGCAGGUCUCUGGGCUGACACUGACGCUCAUGCACGAAAGCGUGGGGAGCAAACAGG